GGUACAGUUAUGGAAUCACCUGUGGAUUUUUACCAUGACAGAGUACCCAAGAAGUCAAGGAAGAAGACAUUUGUGGAUGAGCUGUUAGAUGAUGCAGAAUUUAGACAAUUUAACAAAAGGAAGUAUGCAGAAAUACAAGAAGCCACCAGAAAGGCCAGAGGACCUCACAAGCAUAUGAAAAGACUGAAGAAGAAAAA
Lingula anatina is the source of this 197-nucleotide long non-coding RNA. NCBI's taxonomy places the organism in Eukaryota, Metazoa, Brachiopoda, Lingulata, Lingulida, Lingulidae. The record is from RefSeq and is a predicted model, not a curated record.